This 427-nucleotide ribosomal RNA is filed under the name uncultured bacterium. Its description in RNAcentral is "bacterial SSU rRNA". It matches the Rfam family "Bacterial small subunit ribosomal RNA", at positions 355 to 774 of the family's 1533-position model. The record is from RNAcentral.
UGGGGAAUUUUGGACAAUGGGCGAAAGCCUGAUCCAGCCAUGCCGCGUGAGUGAAGAAGGCCUUCGGGUUGUAAAGCUCUUUUAGUCGGAAAGAAAGAGUUGCAAUGAAUAAUUGUGAUUUAUGACGGUACCGACAGAAAAAGCACCGGCUAACUACGUGCCAGCAGCCGCGGUAAUACGUAGGGUGCGAGCGUUAAUCGGAAUUACUGGGCGUAACGCGUGCGCAGGCGGUUUUGUAAGACGGAUGUGAAAUCCCCGGGCUUAACCUGGGAACUUCAUUCGUGACUGCAAGGCUAGAGUAUGGCAGAGGGGGGUAGAAUUCCACGUGUAGCAGUGAAAUGCGUAGAGAUGUGGAGGAAUACCGAUGGCGAAGGCAGCCCCCUGGGCCAAUACUGACGCUCAUGCACGAAAGCGUGGGGAGCAAACA